CACGACUCUCCUCUCUCGAUCCCCUUCGAAAACUCUCGCGGAAACCCACGAUAGCCCACGUCGUCGCCGUUCCGAUCUAGGCCAGCCAAGCAUAGUUCACCGCUCCACUUCGCCCGCCGGGAACACCGGAACCUCGUCCUCAACCUCGUCCGCCGUCGCCGGAGCUCCCGGUUCACAGGAGCUUCUCGAGUCGCCCCGCUCGCCCUGGACAUCCCCGACCUCCACCUUCAACAAAAAUCGGACCCCCUCGGAGUUCCCCAUCCGCUGGGCAUCACAGUCGACGCCGCCGUCGACCGGAGCCGCUGCCACGCCGAAGUCCACUUCCCUGCCUACGCGUACUCUUCUCUGUUCAACGUUCUGUGAUACCCUGACCGCGCGUGUGCCUCGUGCGCCGCCGCCGUCAAACGCCAGGCGUCUCUGAUUUCCGUUGAGUUGAUCCCGACGUCCACCGGCAGGAAGCCCAUACAGUGGCGACUACGGAUGAACAACUAGCAGGUAGUACCACUUGCAAUCAGAGACACGAGGGCACCAAAAGUUUGAGUAUGGAUCCUAUGAAUAACGUUCAAAUGCAUACGAGCCAGGGAGGAUUUAGUACGCCCAAAAAGAACACAGACAUACCUCUCUUCUCUUCGUUUUUUAUACCUGAAUGUGAUGAGCAUCUGAAGCCUAAAGUGGGUAUGACAUUUGAAGGACUCGAGGCCGUGGAGAAGUUCUACAAGGAAUAUGCGCAUCAAUCAGGUUUUGGUGUUCGCAUUGGACAACAAAAAAAGAAUGAGAAUAAGGUGGUCCGUACUAAGCGUUUCAUGUGUAAUAGGGAAGGAUUCCAGGCAAAAGAUAGUAAAGAGACUAAUGACCCCUUGAAGAAAAGGCGUAAGCAGACAGAUACACGAUGCGGUUGUGAUGCCCAUAUCUUUGUUAGACUUUGUGGGGAGAACACCUACAAGAUAGACUCACUGAUUGAGCACCA
Long non-coding RNA from Triticum aestivum (bread wheat), 967 nucleotides. RefSeq lists it as uncharacterized. The record is from RefSeq and is a predicted model, not a curated record. Lineage: Eukaryota; Viridiplantae; Streptophyta; Magnoliopsida; Poales; Poaceae. The transcript has 6 exons.